CAUGCAAGUCGAGCGAACUGAUUAGAAGCUUGCUUCUAUGACGUUAGCGGCGGACGGGUGAGUAACACGUGGGCAACCUGCCUGUAAGACUGGGAUAACUUCGGGAAACCGAAGCUAAUACCGGAUAGGAUCUUCUCCUUCAUGGGAGAUGAUUGAAAGAUGGUUUCGGCUAUCACUUACAGAUGGGCCCGCGGUGCAUUAGCUAGUUGGUGAGGUAACGGCUCACCAAGGCAACGAUGCAUAGCCGACCUGAGAGGGUGAUCGGCCACACUGGGACUGAGACACGGCCCAGACUCCUACGGGAGGCAGCAGUAGGGAAUCUUCCGCAAUGGACGAAAGUCUGACGGAGCAACGCCGCGUGAGUGAUGAAGGCUUUCGGGUCGUAAAACUCUGUUGUUAGGGAAGAACAAGUACAAGAGUAACUGCUUGUACCUUGACGGUACCUAACCAGAAAGCCACGGCUAACUACGUGCCAGCAGCCGCGGUAAUACGUAGGUGGCAAGCGUUAUCCGGAAUUAUUGGGCGUAAAGCGCGCGCAGGCGGUUUCUUAAGUCUGAUGUGAAAGCCCACGGCUCAACCGUGGAGGGUCAUUGGAAACUGGGGAACUUGAGUGCAGAAGAGAAAAGCGGAAUUCCACGUGUAGCGGUGAAAUGCGUAGAGAUGUGGAGGAACACCAGUGGCGAAGGCGGCUUUUUGGUCUGUAACUGACGCUGAGGCGCGAAAGCGUGGGGAGCAAACAGGAUUAG
This 746-nucleotide ribosomal RNA is filed under the name Priestia megaterium. RNAcentral's name for it is "bacterial SSU rRNA". It matches the Rfam family "Bacterial small subunit ribosomal RNA", at positions 54 to 781 of the family's 1533-position model. The record is from RNAcentral. Lineage: Bacteria; Bacillati; Bacillota; Bacilli; Caryophanales; Bacillaceae.